Molecule: RNA transcript, 841 nt
Organism: Cucurbita moschata (crookneck pumpkin)
Lineage: Eukaryota; Viridiplantae; Streptophyta; Magnoliopsida; Cucurbitales; Cucurbitaceae
Exons: 4
Source: RefSeq, a predicted model, not a curated record
AGCUGGUUGGAACAAAUAAAAUCCAUUACCGUACAUCAAAAACAUUGCGCGAAAUGGAGGAUCACCAGAGCGAGAGCGAAAUCCGUGAAAUUGAAGAAACCAGCUCGAACUCAGAGCUGCAACCUCUUCUUCAGAGCCAGAACCCGAGUUCGAAUUCCAAAACAGUGAAAACGAAGGUUCCGGAGGUUGAGAUCCAUCUUUAUCGGCAGGGCAAAGGUCCGAUCGAUGUGUUUAAAUCAAGCCUUGGGGGUUGGGAACAAGACCAGCUCGAGGUCCGAGAGAUUCUCGAUAAAUACGGCUUCAAAAGCGUUUUCGCCUUCAAACCUGACUCCGGUCGUGGCGUCCCGAUUCGAUUCAACCCUAGAAAUGGUAGGUCUAUAUUGACUUACAGAGGUGGAGCCGAAAUUUACAUCGACGGAGAGCCUAAGGAUUCCCUGAUCAAACCCGUAACCGGGAUAGUUUUUGUCGUGGCAAUUAUUACCAUUAUGAUAACGCUUCUCUCGACCUCAAGAAGCUCACAGGGAUGGAUGAAGACACUAAACAUCACUGGGAACUUCCCUCCUUGGAUUCUUGCUUGCGUCGUUAUCGUCUUCACACGCUCGAGGAAGAGAACUAGGGACUUACUGAAGAAGUACGGUUGGUGAAUCUCAUUCUCCAGGCCUAUGUUGAUUAUUGUUUCUUGAUUUGAAACCUUGGAAAUAGAAGAUAAUGAUACAAUACAAAUGGAACGUUCUUGGUCCAUUGCUAUCAUAAAUUCCCUGCCUGGAUCUGAUCUUUUGACGUAAUUUGAGUUAUUAUAUAGUUUGGAUUUAUGUGUAUAACUUGUUUGUCAUAACUUCAA